UGCUACCUACGGGACGCAGCAGUGGGGGAUAUUGCACAAUGGGGGAAACCCUGAUGCAGCAACGCCGCGUGAAGGAAGACGGUUUUCGGAUUGUAAACUUCUGUUCUUAGUGAAGAAAAAUGACGGUAGCUAAGGAGCAAGCCACGGCUAACUACGUGCCAGCAGCCGCGGUAAUACGUAGGUGGCAAGCGUUGUCCGGAAUUACUGGGUGUAAAGGGAGCGCAGGCGGGAAGCCAAGUCAGCUGUGAAAACUACGGACUUAACUUGUAGACUGCAGUUGAAACUGGUUUUCUUGAGUGAAGGAG
Molecule: ribosomal RNA, 305 nt
Filed under: uncultured bacterium
Lineage: Bacteria
Description: bacterial SSU rRNA
Rfam family: Bacterial small subunit ribosomal RNA
Source: RNAcentral